AGGCUAUUAGCUAAGUAGUAGAGAGUGCCCCUGAUAAGAGUGAGGUCUCUGGUUCAUGUCUAGGAUAGCCUA
This 72-nucleotide transfer RNA is filed under the name Ancistrocladus tectorius. RNAcentral describes it as "tRNA-Ile". It matches the Rfam family "tRNA". Rfam says of the family: Transfer RNA (tRNA) molecules are approximately 80 nucleotides in length. Their secondary structure includes four short double-helical elements and three loops (D, anti-codon, and T loops). The record is from RNAcentral. Lineage: Eukaryota; Viridiplantae; Streptophyta; Magnoliopsida; Caryophyllales; Ancistrocladaceae.